RNAcentral lists this ribosomal RNA (429 nucleotides) under Bacillota bacterium. RNAcentral's name for it is "Firmicutes bacterium partial 16S ribosomal RNA". It matches the Rfam family "Bacterial small subunit ribosomal RNA", at positions 355 to 776 of the family's 1533-position model. The record is from RNAcentral. Lineage: Bacteria; Bacillati; Bacillota.
UAGGGAAUCUUCCACAAUGGACGCAAGGCUGAUGGAGCAACGCCGCGUGAGUGAAGAAGGUUUUCGGAUCGUAAAGCUCUGUUGUUGGUGAAGAAGGAUAGAGGUAGUAACUGGCCUUUAUUUGACGGUAAUCAACCAGAAAGUCACGGCUAACUACGUGCCAGCAGCCGCGGUAGUACGUAGGUGGCAAGCGUUGUCCGGAUUUAUUGGGCGUAAAGCGAGCGCAGGCGGAAGAAUAAGUCUGAUGUGAAAGCCCUCGGCUUAACCGAGGAACUGCAUCGGAAACUGUUUUUCUUGAGUGCAGAAGAGGAGAGUGGAAUUCCAUGUGUAGCGGUGGAAUGCGUAGAUAUAUGGAAGAACACCAGUGGCGAAGGCGACUCUCUGGUCUGCAACUGACGCUGAGGCUCGAAAGCAUGGGUAGCGAACAGG